CCCUAAUUCUGGUGUACUAUUUAUUUAGAAACCCUAGCCGCCAGUUUCAUCUUAUUCUCUUCAGAUUUACAUCUCAAUAUUUGGGCUCUCUGCGGCUAGAAAUGGAUGGCUGUUUGAGAAUGACUUUACGAGCAUGGUGCUACAUUGAUUGUUUGAUUCCUACUCCACCAUGGCUAGUUGAUGCAUAAUCUGCCUUGGAUUGGCUGCACUUUUCGAGCCAUGAAUGGAGACAUUAUAUCAUAUCAAAUCAUGUUUGUAAACGCAUUCUGCAGUUGUUUAACUUUGAUUUGCCAGCAUUAAUCCCUCUCCAAAUCGUUGGUUUACUUCACUCGAAACUUGCUUCUAUACUUGUGUGAUUUUUUAUUUUUUUUUUAAAAAUAAAUCUUUAUAUUGGUUUUUAAAAUUUUAGAAAAAUAUAUCAAUGGGUUAAAGACAUUUUCCUAUAGCUGGAAAUGAGCUUACUAUUAAUGUGUUCUGUUUUGAUUUUAAUGCAGCAAUUUACAAAAUUUAAUCUGUUCUGUUUUGAUUUUAAGACUACCUUAGAGAUACUCAUGGUUUGUUUAUUUUUUAAAAUAAAUUCUAAACAUGUUUUCUAAAAGAAAUAUUUCAUUUCAUCUAAAUUAUUUUUAUUAUAUGAUAAUAAUUUCUUAAAUGUUUUUUAUGUACAACAAAGUGACAUAAUAACAAUAAUCGGGACGGAGUGUUACUUAAAAAUUGAAAAAAAAUAAAGAACCAAAUUGUAAAGCCACCAAUUUCUUGUUUCAUUUGCAUAUAUUAAUUAAAAAAUAAAUAAAUAAUACUAAAUAC
Andrographis paniculata is the source of this 807-nucleotide long non-coding RNA. RefSeq lists it as uncharacterized. Lineage: Eukaryota; Viridiplantae; Streptophyta; Magnoliopsida; Lamiales; Acanthaceae. The transcript is spliced from 2 exons. The record is from RefSeq and is a predicted model, not a curated record.